Molecule: ribosomal RNA, 407 nt
Filed under: uncultured beta proteobacterium
Lineage: Bacteria; Pseudomonadati; Pseudomonadota; Betaproteobacteria
Description: bacterial SSU rRNA
Rfam family: Bacterial small subunit ribosomal RNA
Source: RNAcentral
GAGUUUGAUCAUGGCUCAGAUUGAACGCUGGCGGAAUGCUUUACACAUGCAAGUCGAGCGGCAGCGCGGGGCAACCUGGCGGCGAGCGGCGAACGGGUGAGUAAUGCAUCGGAACGUGUCCAUGUCGUGGGGGAUAGCCCGGCGAAAGCCGGAUUAAUACCGCAUACGCCCGAGAGGGGAAAGUGGGGGACCGCAAGGCCUCACGCGAUUGGGUCGGCCGAUGUCCGAUUAGCUAGUUGGCGGGGUAAAGGCCCACCAAGGCGAUGAUCGGUAGCUGGUCUGAGAGGAUGAUCAGCCACACUGGGACUGAGACACGGCCCAGACUCCUACGGGAGGCAGCAGUGGGGAAUUUUGGACAAUGGGGGCAACCCUGAUCCAGCCAUUCCGCGUGAGUGAAGAAGGCCUUC